This 595-nucleotide ribosomal RNA is filed under the name Flagellimonas ruestringensis. RNAcentral's name for it is "bacterial SSU rRNA". It matches the Rfam family "Bacterial small subunit ribosomal RNA", at positions 81 to 674 of the family's 1533-position model. Lineage: Bacteria; Pseudomonadati; Bacteroidota; Flavobacteriia; Flavobacteriales; Flavobacteriaceae. The record is from RNAcentral.
UUUUCCGCCGGCGACCGGCGCACGGGUGCGGAACGCGUAUGGAACCUGCCCCUGUCAGGGGAAUAGCCCAGGGAAACUUGGAUUAAUGCCCCAUGGUACCGCGAUAUCGCAUGAUAUUGCGGUUAAAGAUUUAUCGGACAGGGAUGGCCAUGCGUACCAUUAGUUAGUUGGUGGGGUAACGGCCCACCAAGGCAGCGAUGGUUAGGGGCCCUGAGAGGGGGAUCCCCCACACUGGUACUGAGACACGGACCAGACUCCUACGGGAGGCAGCAGUGAGGAAUAUUGGACAAUGGGCGGGAGCCUGAUCCAGCCAUGCCGCGUGCAGGAUGACGGCCCUAUGGGUUGUAAACUGCUUUUAUACGGGAAGAAAUGCGCCCACGUGUGGGCGUCUGACGGUACCGUAAGAAUAAGGACCGGCUAACUCCGUGCCAGCAGCCGCGGUAAUACGGAGGGUCCGAGCGUUAUCCGGAAUCAUUGGGUUUAAAGGGUCCGUAGGCGGGCCUGUAAGUCAGGGGUGAAAGUUUGUGGCUCAACCAUAAAAUUGCCUUUGAUACUGCAGGUCUUGAGUCAUGGUGGGGUCGCCGGAACAUGUGGU